RNAcentral lists this ribosomal RNA (301 nucleotides) under uncultured bacterium. Its description in RNAcentral is "partial 16S ribosomal RNA". It matches the Rfam family "Bacterial small subunit ribosomal RNA", at positions 509 to 809 of the family's 1533-position model. The record is from RNAcentral.
CAGUAGCCACGGUAAUACAGAGGGUGCGAGCGUUAAUCGGAUUUACUGGGCGUAAAGCGUGCGUAGGCGGCUUUUUAAGUCGGAUGUGAAAUCCCUGAGCUUAACUUAGGAAUUGCAUUCGAUACUGGGAAGCUAGAGUAUGGGAGAGGAUGGUAGAAUUCCAGGUGUAGCGGUGAAAUGCGUAGAGAUCUGGAGGAAUACCGAUGGCGAAGGCAGCCAUCUGGCCUAAUACUGACGCUGAGGUACGAAAGCAUGGGGAGCAAACAGGAUUAGAUACCCGUGUAGUCCCUGUCUCUUAUAU